Molecule: non-coding RNA, 73 nt
Organism: Ixodes scapularis (black-legged tick)
Lineage: Eukaryota; Metazoa; Arthropoda; Arachnida; Ixodida; Ixodidae
Source: Rfam
UCCUGAUUAGCUCAGUUGGUAGAGCACUCCACUGAAAAUGGAGAGGUACCUGGUUUGAUACCAAGACCAGGUG